CUGAGUGUUGGCCUCUAAGGCCUAACCUCCCACCCGUGUUUACUAUACCUUUGUUGCUUUGGCGGGCCCACUGGGUUUCCCCCGGUCGCUGGGGGGUAUCUUACCCCCGGGCCCGCGCCCGCCGAAGCGCCUUUGAACCCUAUUAUGAAAAGACUGUCUGAGUUGGAGGGCUAAAUUAUUA
RNAcentral lists this unclassified non-coding RNA (181 nucleotides) under uncultured Ascomycota. RNAcentral describes it as "sequence contains ITS1". The record is from RNAcentral. Lineage: Eukaryota; Fungi; Ascomycota.